This 490-nucleotide ribosomal RNA is filed under the name uncultured bacterium. RNAcentral's name for it is "partial 16S ribosomal RNA". It matches the Rfam family "Bacterial small subunit ribosomal RNA", at positions 30 to 507 of the family's 1533-position model. The record is from RNAcentral.
AUUGAACGCUGGCGGCAGGCCUAACACAUGCAAGUCGAACGGUAACAGGAAGAAGCUUGCUUCUUUGCUGACGAGUGGCGGACGGGUGAGUAAUGUCUGGGAAACUGCCUGAUGGAGGGGGAUAACUACUGGAAACGGUAGCUAAUACCGCAUAACGUCGCAAGACCAAAGAGGGGGACCUUCGGGCCUCUUGCCAUCGGAUGUGCCCAGAUGGGAUUAGCUAGUAGGUGGGGUAACGGCUCACCUAGGCGACGAUCCCUAGCUGGUCUGAGAGGAUGACCAGCCACACUGGAACUGAGACACGGUCCAGACUCCUACGGGAGGCAGCAGUGGGGAAUAUUGCACAAUGGGCGCAAGCCUGAUGCAGCCAUGCCGCGUGUAUGAAGAAGGCCUUCGGGUUGUAAAGUACUUUCAGCGGGGAGGUAGGGAGUAAAGUUAAUACCUUUGCUCAUUGACGUUACCCGCAGAAGAAGCACCGGCUAACUCCGUG